GACAGAGGUGCCAAGCGUUAGGCGGAAUUACUGGGCUUAAAGCGUGUGUAGGCGGACUUGUAAGUACCUUGUGAAAUCCCUCGGCUCAACCGUGGAACUGCUUGGUAUACUGCUUGUCUUGAGCCACUUAGGGGCUACCGGAACUAAUGGUGGAGCGGUGAAAUGCGUAGAUAUCAUGUGGAACACCAAUGGUGAAAGCAGGUAGCUGGGAGUGUGCUGACGCUGAGACACGAAAGCCAGGGGAGCGAACGGG
RNAcentral lists this ribosomal RNA (253 nucleotides) under uncultured bacterium. RNAcentral describes it as "partial 16S ribosomal RNA". It matches the Rfam family "Bacterial small subunit ribosomal RNA", at positions 524 to 776 of the family's 1533-position model. The record is from RNAcentral.